RNAcentral lists this non-coding RNA (117 nucleotides) under Gracilibacter sp. RNAcentral's name for it is "FMN sequence". It matches the Rfam family "FMN riboswitch aptamer (RFN element)". Rfam says of the family: The RFN element is a highly conserved domain that is found frequently in the 5'-untranslated regions of prokaryotic mRNAs that encode for flavin mononucleotide (FMN) biosynthesis and transport proteins. This element is a metabolite-dependent riboswitch that directly binds FMN in the absence of proteins. The record is from RNAcentral. Lineage: Bacteria; Bacillati; Bacillota; Clostridia; Eubacteriales; Gracilibacteraceae.
UUCAUACUCUGGGGAUGGGUGUAAAUCCUUACCGGCGGUAAAGCCCGCGAGCCUUAUAAGGCAGAUUCGUUGAAACUACGAAGCCGACAGUUAAAGUCUGGAUGGGAAGAGUAAUAA